This 434-nucleotide ribosomal RNA is filed under the name uncultured bacterium. Its description in RNAcentral is "partial 16S ribosomal RNA". It matches the Rfam family "Bacterial small subunit ribosomal RNA", at positions 29 to 507 of the family's 1533-position model. The record is from RNAcentral.
AGCGAACGCUGGCGGCAUGCCUAACACAUGCAAGUCGAACGAACCUUUCGGGGUUAGUGGCGGACGGGUGCGUAACACGUGGGAACGUGCCCUUAGGUUCGGAAUAACUCAGGGAAACUUGUGCUAAUACCGAAUGUGCUCUUCGGGGGAAAGAUUAAUCGCCUUUAGAGCGGCCCGCGUCUGAUUAGCUAGUUGGUUGAGGUAAUGGCUCACCAAGGCGACGAUCAGUAGCUGGUCUGAGAGGAUGAUCAGCCACAUUGGGACUGAGACACGGCCCAAACUCCUACGGGAGGCAGCAGUGGGGAAUAUUGCGCAAUGGGCGAAAGCCUGAUGCAGCCAUGCCGCGUGAAUGAUGAAGGUCUUAGGAUUGUAAAAUUCUUUUACCGGGGACGAUAAUGACGGUACCCGGAGAAGAAGCCCCGGCUAACUUCGUG